This is a non-coding RNA of Betaproteobacteria bacterium, 135 nucleotides long. NCBI's taxonomy places the organism in Bacteria, Pseudomonadati, Pseudomonadota, Betaproteobacteria. The record is from Rfam.
UAGCGGGUAAGAGUCCCGUCCGGAUAAGCGCCAGAGCGACCGGUAGCAGGGUCCAGCUACGACUCGAAAGAGCCGUGGCCGAGCGGGCCGUCGAAAGCCUUGAAAGAGGAAGCAACGAAGCAGGCCGCAACACAG